Molecule: long non-coding RNA, 400 nt
Filed under: Pan troglodytes (chimpanzee)
Lineage: Eukaryota; Metazoa; Chordata; Mammalia; Primates; Hominidae
Description: lncRNA (ENSPTRG00000054509.1)
Source: RNAcentral
CCCUUGUAUCAGCAGAAGUAACUCAAUGCUGAUCUACUAUGAUCAGUAUGCUGCUUGUUACUAUAGACAGAAUCUUCACCUUCAGAGUUGUCCUCAAGGAUUGAGAUACCCUCCAGAAGGUAAGCUCAGGACCUCACAGGGCCUGAAGCUUUCCCCACCUCAAGGUCUGUGGAUGGAGAAAACUGCUAGAACUUCUGACUGAGAGUUGUAGCCAAAGGUUAAGGAGGAGAGCAGCAGUAAAAAGAAAACCAAGGGCACCAUGAGGGGGAAGAAGAAGAGAAUGACAUCUGAGAGGUGGGACCCCUGAUGCACUUCAAAGGCAGACUCGGUAUGAGCUGACACAGGUGACUCCAGUGUAAAGGAAAAGAACUGUUGGGGACCAUCCUCCGCACUACCUCCU